This 395-nucleotide ribosomal RNA is filed under the name uncultured marine eukaryote. Its description in RNAcentral is "SSU rRNA". It matches the Rfam family "Eukaryotic small subunit ribosomal RNA", at positions 1 to 399 of the family's 1831-position model. The record is from RNAcentral.
AACCUGGUUGAUCCUGCCAGUAGUCAUAUGCUUGUCUCGAAGACUAAGCCAUGCAUGUCUAAGUAUAAGUAUUAUACAGCGAAACUGCGAAUGGCUCAUUAAAACAGUUAUAAUUUAUUUGAUAAUCGAAUUUACAUGGAUAACCGUGGUAAUUCUAGAGCUAAUACAUGCUGGUAGGCCCGACUUUUUGGAAGGGCGGUAUUUAUUAGAUAACAAACCAAUAUUCCUCUGGUCUAUUGUGGUGAAUCAUAAUAACUGAUCGAAUCGCAAGGUUUUUAACCGCGAUAAGUCAUUCAAGUUUCUGCCCCAUCAGCUUUCGAUGGUAGUGUAUUGGACUACCAUGGCUUUUACGGGUAAACGGAGGAUUAGGGUUCGAUUCCGGAGAGGGAGCCUGA